RNAcentral lists this ribosomal RNA (479 nucleotides) under uncultured bacterium. RNAcentral's name for it is "bacterial SSU rRNA". It matches the Rfam family "Bacterial small subunit ribosomal RNA", at positions 335 to 801 of the family's 1533-position model. The record is from RNAcentral.
ACUCCUACGGGAGGCAGCAGUGGGGAAGUAUUGCCACAAUGGGCGGCAAGCCUGAUGCAGCCAUGCCGCGUGUAUGAAGAAGGCCUUCGGGUUGUAAAGUACUUUCAGCAGUGAGGAAGGUUGGAGUCGUUAAUAGCGGCCUCAUUUGACGUUUAGCGACAGAAGAAGCACCGGCUAACUCCGUGCCAGCAGCCGCGGUAAUACGGAGGGUGCGAGCGUUAAUCGGAAUUACUGGGCGUAAAGCGCAUGCAGGUGGUUUGUUAAGUCAGAUGUGAAAGCCCGGGGCUCAACCUCGGAACUGCAUUUGAAACUGGCAGACUAGAGUACUGUAGAGGGGGGUAGAAUUUCAGGUGUAGCGGUGAAAUGCGUAGAGAUCUGAAGGAAUACCGGUGGCGAAGGCGGCCCCCUGGACAGAUACUGACACUCAGAUGCGAAAGCGUGGGGAGCAAACAGGAUUAGAUACCCUGGUAGGUGACAAU